GAUGAACGCUGGCGGCGUGCCUAACACAUGCAAGUCGAACGGAGAUUACGGACGGAAGUUUUCGGAUGAAAGACUGUAAUUCUUAGUGGCGGACGGGUGAGUAACGCGUGGGCAACCUGCCCUAUACAGGGGGAUAGCAGCUGGAAACGGCUGGUAAGACCGCAUAAGUCGGCGAGACCGCAUGGUUUUGCCGGGAAAUGAGCAAUCAGGUAUAGGAUGGGCCCGCGUCCGAUUAGCCAGUUGGCAGGGUAAAAGCCUACCAAAGCAACGAUCGGUAGCCGGACUGAGAGGUCGGACGGCCACAUUGGGACUGAGACACGGCCCAAACUCCUACGGGAGGCAGCAGUGGGGGAUAUUGCACAAUGGAGGAAACUCUGAUGCAGCGACGCCGCGUGAGUGAAGAAGUAUUUCGGUAUGUAAAGCUCUAUCAGCAGGGAAGAUGAUGACGGUACCUGACUAAGAAGCCCCGGCUAACUACGUG
Molecule: ribosomal RNA, 481 nt
Filed under: uncultured bacterium
Lineage: Bacteria
Description: partial 16S ribosomal RNA
Rfam family: Bacterial small subunit ribosomal RNA
Source: RNAcentral